Molecule: long non-coding RNA, 3405 nt
Filed under: Homo sapiens (human)
Lineage: Eukaryota; Metazoa; Chordata; Mammalia; Primates; Hominidae
Description: HSALNT0007921
Source: RNAcentral
CAAACAAGGAGCGUAUUGCUGACACAGCAACACUGUGGUCUCAGACUGUGGGAAAUGUCAAAUUUAUGGUCCUGGGGGUGAUUGGUGGAUGGUUUUGUGGUGUGUAUGGUGUUUUGUUUUGUUUUGUGUGUGCUUUUUCUUUUCUCUUUUGAGUCUCUGACAGAAACAGAGCUCUACAAACUUUCUGGCGACCUCCCAGGAAAACAGAAGGAAGCUGUAUCCUGUACUUCCCCUGGGAUCUAAUGAAAUAUACAGCCUCUGGGCUUCUUUCAAUUUGGACUUUCAGAUCGCUAAGCCAGUGAAAAGGGGAUCCUAGCUGUCACAAACGUCACAUGGUCAGGGUCACCUGCUGCUCGGGGGUUCUCAUGCCAGUUGUUGACAUAAUAAGCCCCCCUUACACUUUAAUUACAAUUCACAGUGUGCAAACUAUGCAAUCUGCUUUAAGGCAGACUGUCUUUUAAAUCAACACUAAAAUUCUACUACUAAUAUGGCAAUGCAAUGUAGCAGAGGAAGGGUGUGUCCACAUGACUAACUAUAUGCAGAUAUCUGCCGUUUGGGAGACAGUGGGUAGCAUUUGCCAAAAUAUAAAAUGGUGUUGCUGACCCCAAUUCUGGGAGAUGGUACUUGAAUCUUACUGUGCUCUGAGACUUCUUUCCAUAGGCCACAAAAAGGUAAUGCAAUAUACUUCAUGUGUAGCAUUUUACAUUUGUAUAACUACUAUUUUUUUUCACAUGGCUCCAUAACUGUUCUAUGUACUAAUCUUGCCUAUCCAACAGAAGGAGUGUUGAAGAACAGUGAAUUUCUACUUCCCUAUUUCUUCCCCUUUAAACCUAGGGCAGUGCCAGUGAUGUUUAACACAUGCUUCUAGAGUUGUGUCAAUGCUCUAUCAUUUACUGGAUCCUUGUAUUUUGCUAACUACAGACCUGUGUAAGCUAUAUUUUUGCAAUCAAAACAUGAAAGGUCAUUUUAAAACAGAGCCCAUUUAAAAUGAUAUGACAAUGCAGGGAGCUGUUUAAAAAGUGCUAACACAUAAUUAUAGUCUACAGUUUUCUCCAAAAACAACAGUGGAAAUUAGUUACAAUUCUAUUACAGACAACUGCUAUAAACUUAGGUGGGCUAACCUCUGAAUGAACUAUCCCAGUACUCUGGGAAUUGCAAUCUCAUUUUCAGUGCCACAAAUGACGUAAGAUGGAACACACAAAACAAACCCACACAAAGUACUUUAUGUUUAUGAAGUCUUACUCAAACACCUUAGCUGAGCUAACCAGUAUGUCUCACUGUAAAACACCACCACCACCAGUAACAACAAAAUAAAUAAUCAAACAAAAUAGAAGAAAUCCAAAUAGAAAAAAAAAGUUUUAAAAAUAAUAAUGCCUAUACUUGCUUUAAUGAAGGAUGUACCUGAAUUACAAAUGCCAUCAUGACAGAUUAAAUUAGCCAAUAAUUAGUCACUGCUUUAUUUUUUUUUAGUGUCAAACAAUGGUAGAUACCAAGACAAGUAACAACAAAAGGCAAAAGAGUUUAUUUUAUUUAGACGUGGUCAUUCUAACAUAAGGAGAAGAUGCAUUUUCCUUUCAAAAAUUGAGGUCUCUUUGGGCAAACUUUCAGUCCUUUGGCUAUUAGGGUUUGUCUUCAUGAAGGCAGACAUAAAGCAAUUCUGUUCUCUUCCUUAUUUGAACACUUUCAGUCUUCACCUGGCUCUCUGCCACCCCAGCUAAACCACUUGACCUCUGAUUACAUAACAGUCCCCAUCUGUGAGCUCAGCCAUCCUCAGGAGAUAGGAGGGGCCAUGAGAAGCUCAAGUUCACCAUGAGCCACAGCAGUAAGCCAUGCUUUAGCCUCUGACCUGUGCUCCAAUUUUGGUACAAUGAUUUCUGCCAUGUUCUCCAACAGGGUGAGGAAACAGACAGCACUAAGAGAAAAAGCUGGAACUCAAAACCAAAUUAACUCCAAACUUAAGUUUUCCCACUUCGACAAGAAAAGGAACUGCAUGUGUUUUUCUGCCUCUUGCAGAUGUAUGUCAUAAAAGUUGGAUGCCUUCCUUUCAAGACAUUUGAAUGGAUCACCAAAUAAUUACCUACUUUUCUCUCACAACUCAGAUAAAUAAUUAAAAGGAGAUAUACACAGAUUGGUUGCAUACUUAAGAGUGAGAAUCAAUUAAAACAAAAUUGUAUGCAUGUUCUUCUAAUAAUAUAUCCCUACAGGGACCAUGAGAUGCUACCUUUACAUUUGUAAAAUUACUGAGGUCAGAUCAGAGCCUUAAUGCUAUUUCUCCAUGAGCAUUCAGAAGUGGUUGUGCAUAGGCGUUAUGUGGAAUUGGGGCUGGGGAAGAUUUAAUUGGCAAUUUUUUAGUUAUUUAGUUUUAGUUAUGCCCCAGAAACCAGAAAUGGUCACUGAAUAUUUAUUGAGCAUGCCUAGAGUGGAAGUUUCUUAUUUAAGUUGGUAUUUAAGUUGGGACUGCAGUAAGGGGCAUCUUUCACAAAGAAACGUUUUGGGAUUACCUUUAAAUAACAUUUAAAUCCCCUUCAUUAAUUGUCUCAGAGCUCUCCGGUGCAACUUAACAAUAGGAAGCAGCUGUGCUCCAAACAAAAGAACACACAGCUCUGGGAAGAUGCCACCAUUUGAGAAAUCACACAUCAUAAGGAAAGGUUGUUACUUCUAAUUUAGUUCUGUGGACCAAUUCAAGUUUGGGGGUUCCAGAAAGCCUGAAACCCUACCUCUCAGGGCUGUGUUUUAAUAUUAGGGAACUGUCUAAUUUGUGCUUCAGGAAGUUCUGUGCAUUUUUACGAAAUCCAUCUCACCGAAGCCUUUUAGUUAAAAGGCUUGCGUAAUUGUGCACACAGAUAAAAACUGCACUCAUGAUAUUACAUAUUUUACUGCAUUCUCCCUUGAAUCUAUCUGCCCAUUAUUAUGGUUAAUUAUGCAGAGGUUUGGUUCUCUAGCUGGAGGGACAGCUAGUUGAGGGUGAGCUAGUUGAGGACCUUUAUUUUUUUCCCUGCACCUAGUUCAGUAGCUGACAUAGAAGGGCUUGGUAAAUGCUGGCUCAAUUAGAUUUUUCAGAACUUUCUCAGACUAAUGUUUGCUUAUCACCGCACACAUGUACAAGAACUACUUGAAACUCUUGAAAAGGAAAUUUAGUCCUUUAAGGGUUCAGAAAUAACAAUGAAAGAUAACAUUCUCACCAAAAAACAAAAAAGCUCAAAACCAGGAAACACUUGAUACAGGAGCUCAUGAGAAUACUUAUUCUCUCAUUUAUUAAACUAAGAAAGUUCUCAGGAUCAUGUUGGCAGUAGACCAUUUCUGGCCCUGAGAUGAAUGCCCUUUUUCCAAGUUAAAACCAUGGCCCAGCUGUGAAAUAAUGAUGGCUGCAAGGAACCCAAUGGUGGCAGCAAACUCAACUCAAAG